AGCUUUGUACAGUGGCAGUAUCAUAGCCAAUGAGGUCCAACCGAGGCGUGAUUAUUGCUAAUUGAAAACUUUUCCCAAUACAUUUAGUUCUGGUAUUAAAUUACAUGGAUGUUUGUCC
This 118-nucleotide small nuclear RNA is filed under the name Xenopus tropicalis (tropical clawed frog). Its description in RNAcentral is "Xenopus (Silurana) tropicalis (western clawed frog) U4 spliceosomal RNA". It matches the Rfam family "U4 spliceosomal RNA". Rfam says of the family: U4 small nuclear RNA (U4 snRNA) is a component of the major U2-dependent spliceosome. The structure of U4 snRNA from yeast and human has been reported. The record is from Rfam by way of RNAcentral. Lineage: Eukaryota; Metazoa; Chordata; Amphibia; Anura; Pipidae.